This 754-nucleotide ribosomal RNA is filed under the name uncultured archaeon. RNAcentral describes it as "bacterial SSU rRNA". It matches the Rfam family "Archaeal small subunit ribosomal RNA", at positions 102 to 859 of the family's 1478-position model. The record is from RNAcentral.
AGUCAACAUGCCCAGGGGACGUGGAUAACCUCGGGAAACUGAGGAUAAACCGCGAUAGGUCAUCACUUCUGGAAUGGGUAAUGACUUAAAUCUACAUGGCCCCUGGAUUGGACUGCGGCCGAUCAGGCUGUUGGUGAGGUAAUGGCCCACCAAACCUGUAACCGGUACGGGCUCUGAGAGGAGGAGCCCGGAGAUGGGCACUGAGACAAGGGCCCAGGCCCUAUGGGGCGCAGCAGGCGCGAAACCUCUGCAAUAGGCGAAAGCUUGACAGGGUUACUCUGAGUGAUUUCCGUUAAGGAGAUCUUUUGGCACCUCUAAAAAUGGUGCAGAAUAAGGGGUGGGCAAGUCUGGUGUCAGCCGCCGCGGUAAUACCAGCACCCCGAGUGGUCGGGACGUUUAUUGGGCCUAAAGCAUCCGUAGCCGGUUCUACAAGUCUUCCGUUAAAUCCACCUGCUUAACAGAUGGGCUGCGGAAGAUACUAUAGAGCUAGGAGGCGGGAGAGGCAAGCGGUACUCGAUGGGUAGGGGUAAAAUCCGUUGAUCCAUUGAAGACCACCAGUGGCGAAGGCGGCUUGCCAGAACGCGCUCGACGGUGAGGGAUGAAAGCUGGGGGAGCAAACCGGAUUAGAUACCCGGGUAGUCCCAGCUGUAAACGAUGCAGACUCGGUGAUGAGUUGGCUUAUUGCUAACUCAGUGCCGCAGGGAAGCCGUUAAGUUUGCCGCCUGGGGAGUACGGUCGCAAGACUGAAACUUAA